Molecule: long non-coding RNA, 209 nt
Filed under: Setaria italica (foxtail millet)
Lineage: Eukaryota; Viridiplantae; Streptophyta; Magnoliopsida; Poales; Poaceae
Description: long non-coding RNA (SITA_LNC000327)
Source: RNAcentral
CCAUGUGCGUCAUCCUCCUGGUGAUGAGUCCUCCAAGAACUAGAGCAUGCUAUUACACCUAAUAGCUAGUAAAGAAUCUAGUAAUGAAGAUUACAUAGUUGCUUGAAUCAUCACAGAUUGGUACGCAGAUCAUUAAAUACAAUAAAGUGACAACACAUAUGGCUCCUACCGUGUUGCCGUACGCGCGACACGCAGGUCACGAAUGAGUU